RNAcentral lists this non-coding RNA (149 nucleotides) under Callithrix jacchus (white-tufted-ear marmoset). Lineage: Eukaryota; Metazoa; Chordata; Mammalia; Primates; Cebidae. The record is from Rfam by way of RNAcentral.
GCCGGGCAUGAUGGCACAUGCCUGUAAUCCCAGCUACUUGGGAGGCUGAGACAGGAGAGUCGUUUGAACCCAGGAGGCGGAGGUUGCAGUGAGCCGAGAUCGUGCCAUUGCACUCCAGCCUGGGUAACAAGAGCGAAACUCUGUCUCAU